CUUGUGAGUACUGAAUAGACUUGCUACAAUUAGACGAUUUUAAUUUUGAAAUUAUUACUCCCCGACCUUAGUAGCAAUGUACCAACUUCACCUACACACAUAGGAUAUUCAUUUCUCAACUCAUCAUCCGUAUUCACGAGGCUUGCAGCUGCUAUAUAGUAAGACUUAUAACAGUCACCAGUGUCUGAGCAGAAAGUUGAUGAACCAGCGGUAUGCCAAAGAACGUCGCGUCCUUUUU
Molecule: long non-coding RNA, 238 nt
Filed under: Mytilus galloprovincialis (Mediterranean mussel)
Lineage: Eukaryota; Metazoa; Mollusca; Bivalvia; Mytilida; Mytilidae
Source: RNAcentral